RNAcentral lists this transfer RNA (77 nucleotides) under Brucella abortus S19. RNAcentral's name for it is "tRNA-Met". The record is from RNAcentral. RNAcentral also lists the same sequence under 2 other names. Lineage: Bacteria; Pseudomonadati; Pseudomonadota; Alphaproteobacteria; Hyphomicrobiales; Brucellaceae.
UGGUUGCGGGGGCAGGAUUUGAACCUGCGGCCUUCAGGUUAUGAGCCUGACGAGCUACCGGGCUGCUCCACCCCGCG